RNAcentral lists this long non-coding RNA (1595 nucleotides) under Paramuricea clavata. Lineage: Eukaryota; Metazoa; Cnidaria; Anthozoa; Malacalcyonacea; Plexauridae. The record is from RNAcentral.
CUCAGUUUAGCAGUAUUAUAGCUAUAAUGUAACAUGCCAACACUGGCGAGCAGUACAUUAUUGUCUCUCUGUGGCCUCUAGCUCAUCGAGGCGAGUAAUCAGCUGAUUUGGCUGUAAAUGUAAUGUAUACAUAUGCGCGUAUCGCGCAUAUCUCGGGCCCGCAGUAAGUGGCACUUACGCUGUUGCGGAUUCCUUGCCAUUGUAAGCUGCGACGUAGUAGCUUGACAACUCACAGGUGAGGAUAUCAUAGAUACGAUUUGUGGUUUGAAUUAGUCAGAUAUAGUCAUAUAGAGAAGUUUGAAAGUGUGUAUAUUCAUUAUUGAAUUGUACAAUAAUAUUAAUAAAGGUUUGGAGCACAACCUGGUGUAUAUACUGUAUACAAACUUACAAGGAUCUGUAGUGCUGUACCAGUGGCAACGAGGCUAACAUGCAUCGGCAUGUUUUAGACCCUGGAUUUUGUUACCACGGUCCACAAUUGGCAUGUCUAGGCCGAGUUUAGGCGCUAAUAACAAACCUUAUGAAGCCGGGAAACACGGUAUUUUUUACUAAGUAGAAUCACCGUGCAAUAUUGCAAUGUACAGACAUUUUCUUGACUCUCCCGGUGAGUGCAAUUCAGGCGAGGGAGAUGUCCCUGUAUUAUUGCCAUGUUGGCGCUUUUGGCAUGAAAUGAUAGUGUGUAUCAUCUGCAUAACAUUUGCUAUUUACCUCGAUUUUAAGGUUUACAUAUAUAGUCAUUUAACUUGCGAUGGUAACAUAAAUGUUUUCUCCAUUCAACAGCUCAGUGCAGCUUGUAUAAUAUCGACAUUCUGUCGAUUCGCCGUUCUAAUUUUAUAUGUUUCCCAGUUCAACCGUUUAAUUUUAUGACCGGGUGCGGCAUUUUAGUAAUGCAUCAUGUGUAUUUUUAGUAUUAGUAGCUGCUGUAUUUCAAGCUGUACAUUGUCCGCCGGGUCGGCGUUAUAAAUACCGUUUUUGUGACUAAGUUAGUCUACGGCUUGAGUCUUCCGCAAGGUUGAUCAUUGGCAUUGCCAAAUUGUGCAUUAUCCGCCGAGUCGGCGUUUUGACAAUGCAAUAUGCCGUUUUGGCGACUAAGUUAGUCUACGGCUUGAUUCUUCCGCAAGGUUGACCAUUGCCCAUUGGAUUGCCAUUGCCAAAUUGUGCAUUAUCCGCCGAGUCGGCGUUUUGAUAAAGCAAUAUGCCGUUUUGGCGACUAAGUUAGUCUACGGCUUGAUCUCAUAUUGUACUCAUACGAAGAGACAAUCUAGCAAUUUUCGCAACGUUGGCCAUUGCAGAGUUUCAUGUAUUAAGCUCCGUCGUCGCCUGCCACUAAUCCACUGUCAUUGUCAUGUUGACGUGUUUUUAAUAUAAACUGCCGGGCGGCAAGAUGUCGAUAUUCAGGUCUGACUGGACGGUAUUUUUUCAUCCUCUUGUACCAAAUGUUGCCUCUGCUGUCAUUGGCUUUACAUACACGCCGAGUCGACGUGUUUAUAAUACAAUUGCCGGUUCGGCAAGAUCUCGUGUUCAGGUCUGAUUUCGGUGUUUUUCGACCUUUAUUAAUCCUUUAUAUAUUUUGCCGCUUCGGCGAGAUCUUUCAGUGU